GUUUCGGGGCGGGGUGAAAUUCCCCACUGGCGGUAAGGGUGCACAGCAUUCCCAAGCCCGCGUGCCGCACAUAAGGGCGGCUGAUCUGGUGCGAUUCCAGAGCCAACGGUUACAGUCCGGAUGGAAGAAA
This 130-nucleotide non-coding RNA is filed under the name bovine gut metagenome. RNAcentral describes it as "FMN riboswitch (RFN element)". It matches the Rfam family "FMN riboswitch aptamer (RFN element)". Rfam says of the family: The RFN element is a highly conserved domain that is found frequently in the 5'-untranslated regions of prokaryotic mRNAs that encode for flavin mononucleotide (FMN) biosynthesis and transport proteins. This element is a metabolite-dependent riboswitch that directly binds FMN in the absence of proteins. The record is from RNAcentral.